Molecule: ribosomal RNA, 496 nt
Filed under: uncultured bacterium
Lineage: Bacteria
Description: bacterial SSU rRNA
Rfam family: Bacterial small subunit ribosomal RNA
Source: RNAcentral
AAUCAACGCUGGCGGCGUGCCUCAGACAUGCAAGUCGAACGCGAAAGGCCCCUUCGGGGGCCGGAGUAGAGUGGCGCACGGGUGAGUAACACGUGGGUAAUCUACCUCUGGGUGGGGAAUAACAGUCGGAAACGGCUGCUAAUACCGCAUAAUGCAGCGGCAUCACAUGAUGACAGUUGUUAAAGCGGGGGAUCGUAAGACCUCGCGCCUAGAGAGGAGCCCGCGGCGGAUUAGCUAGUUGGUAGGGUAACGGCCUACCAAGGCGACGAUCCGUAGCCGGCCUGAGAGGGCGGACGGCCACACUGGCACUGACAUACGGGCCAGACUCCUACGGGAGGCAGCAGUCGGGAAUUUUGGGCAAUGGGCGAAAGCCUGACCCAGCAACGCCGCGUGAAGGAUGAAGCUUCUCGGAGUGUAAACUUCCUUUUCUGGGGGAUGAAGACAGUGACAGUACCCCAGGAAGAAGGACCGGCUAACUACGUGCCAGCAGCCGCCG